Molecule: ribosomal RNA, 714 nt
Filed under: Shewanella baltica
Lineage: Bacteria; Pseudomonadati; Pseudomonadota; Gammaproteobacteria; Alteromonadales; Shewanellaceae
Description: bacterial SSU rRNA
Rfam family: Bacterial small subunit ribosomal RNA
Source: RNAcentral
ACAUGCAAGUCGAGCGGCAGCGGGAAGAUAGCUUGCUAUCUUUGCCGGCGAGCGGCGGACGGGUGAGUAAUGCCUAGGGAUCUGCCCAGUCGAGGGGGAUAACAGUUGGAAACGACUGCUAAUACCGCAUACGCCCUACGGGGGAAAGGAGGGGACCUUCGGGCCUUCCGCGAUUGGAUGAACCUAGGUGGGAUUAGCUAGUUGGUGAGGUAAUGGCUCACCAAGGCGACGAUCCCUAGCUGUUCUGAGAGGAUGAUCAGCCACACUGGGACUGAGACACGGCCCAGACUCCUACGGGAGGCAGCAGUGGGGAAUAUUGCACAAUGGGGGAAACCCUGAUGCAGCCAUGCCGCGUGUGUGAAGAAGGCCUUCGGGUUGUAAAGCACUUUCAGUAGGGAGGAAAGGUAGCAGUUUAAUACGCUGUUGCUGUGACGUUACCUACAGAAGAAGGACCGGCUAACUCCGUGCCAGCAGCCGCGGUAAUACGGAGGGUCCGAGCGUUAAUCGGAAUUACUGGGCGUAAAGCGUGCGCAGGCGGUUUGUUAAGCGAGAUGUGAAAGCCCCGGGCUCAACCUGGGAAUUGCAUUUCGAACUGGCGAACUAGAGUCUUGUAGAGGGGGGUAGAAUUCCAGGUGUAGCGGUGAAAUGCGUAGAGAUCUGGAGGAAUACCGGUGGCGAAGGCGGCCCCCUGGACAAAGACUGACGCUCAGGCAC